Molecule: ribosomal RNA, 362 nt
Filed under: uncultured bacterium
Lineage: Bacteria
Description: bacterial SSU rRNA
Rfam family: Bacterial small subunit ribosomal RNA
Source: RNAcentral
AACGAACGCUGGCGGCAGGCCUAACACAUGCAAGUCGAACGCUCCGCAAGGGGAGUGGCGCACGGGUGAGUAACACGUGGGAACCUACCUUCUGGUACGGAACAACCAAGGGAAACUUUGGCUAAGACCGUAUACGACCUCCGGGUGAAAGAUUGAUCGCCGGAAGAGGGGCCGCGUCCGAUUAGGUAGUUGGUGAGGUAACGGCUCACCAAGCCUUCGAUCGGUAGCUGGUCUGAGAGGAUGACCAGCCACACUGGGACUGAGACACGGCCCACGACUCCUACGGGAGGCAGCAGUGGGGAAGUAUUGGACAAUGGGCGCAAGCCUGAUCCAGCCAUGCCGCGUGAGUGAUGAAGGCCUUC